Molecule: transfer RNA, 77 nt
Filed under: Peptoniphilus sp. ING2-D1G
Lineage: Bacteria; Bacillati; Bacillota; Tissierellia; Tissierellales; Peptoniphilaceae
Also listed under: 1 other name
Description: tRNA-Arg (CCT) (tRNA-Arg-CCT-1-1)
Rfam family: tRNA
About the family: Transfer RNA (tRNA) molecules are approximately 80 nucleotides in length. Their secondary structure includes four short double-helical elements and three loops (D, anti-codon, and T loops).
Source: RNAcentral
GCACACGUAGCUCAGUCGGAUAGAGCGAAGCUCUCCUAAAGCUUAGGCCGGGGGUUCAAUUCCUCUCGUGUGCACCA